CGACGUCGCAUGCUCCCGGGCGCAAUGGCGGCCGCGGGAAUUCGAUUCGUAUUACCGCGGCUGCUGGCACAGAGUUAGCCGGGGCUUCCUCAAUCGGUACCGUCAGACCUCCGGGGUGUUAUCCCGAUGGUUGUUCGUCCCGAUCAACAGGAGUUUACAAUCCGAAGACCUUCAUCCUCCACGCGGCGUUGCGUCGUCAGGCUUGCGCCCAUUGUGCAAGAUUCCCCACUGCUGCCUCCCGUAGGAGUCUGGGCCGUGUCGCAGUCCCAAUGUGGCUGGCCAUCCUCUCAGACCAGCUACCCGUCGGAGCCUUGGUGGGCCGUUACCCCACCAACGAGCUAAUCGGACGCAGGCCCCUCCCGAAGCGCCUCGCGGCUUUGAUGACACGACUGAACGUGUCGCCACAUGCGGUAUUAGCCACCCUUUCGGGCAGUUAUCCCCCACUUCAGGGCAGGUCACCUACGCGUUACUCAGCCGUCCGCCACUAACGAGCAAGCUCGUUCGUUCGACUUGCAUGUCUCAUGCACGCCGCCAGCGUUUAUCCUGAGCCAUGAUCAAACUCUAAUCACUAGUGAAUUCGCGGCCGCCUGCAGGUCGACCAUAUGGGAGAGCUCCCAACGCGU
This 623-nucleotide ribosomal RNA is filed under the name uncultured Bacillota bacterium. Its description in RNAcentral is "uncultured Firmicutes bacterium partial 16S ribosomal RNA". The record is from RNAcentral. Lineage: Bacteria; Bacillati; Bacillota.